CUUUAAAAGUCUCUAUUUAAUGUAUCGUUAAAUUUUUUUUCAAGCAAAAUCAAGAGAAAGCAAAAGCUCUUUCCUUCACUUACAGUAGACGUCCACGUGGAUACUUCUUUCCAGCUUCCCAGAGCCACAUGUUGCUGUGCACAGUUUAUAUUCUAGGGGACUGAAAUAAAGAAAGGCAAAGAGCAAAUGGACCAGCAACAGGACAUCCCCGAGGCACAGAGGCAGAGUAAGCACAAGCAGAAAUAAUCCUGGACUCAGGGAGUGGCCCUUCUGGAAGAAGGACAGAAGUCUCUACAUUGUCUCACAGCCUGUGCAUCACAUGUAUCAACCUGGAGACUCAGUGCUGUCCUGAUGGUGAAUAAAUGGUGGUCUAGAUAUGGGGUUCUCUAAGUGUGUUCAGCAUCACCCGAAAGUGCAUUACAAGUGCAAAUUCUCAGACGUCACCCCAGAUACACUGGAACAAUUCUAGAGAGCUGUCCAGGAAUCUCUGGGUUCUGAUAUUAUCGUCCCUCAUGUAUAUUACCAGUUCUGCUCAAGAAGAAGAAAUCACAGAAAAAUGUGUGGCAAUAAAAUAGGUUUUUAUACCCUUGAUCCAACCUGAGUGGAAUUGCUGGUAAUAAGGUAAAGAGGGAAGGUCAGACCUCAGGUAUGAUGCUCACAGCCAAAGGAAGAAUGGAGAGCUUCGUAUGAACUUCUCUGACUACAGUGCUCUUCUCUGUUCUUUGUGUGACAUCACAAGCCUCCACAAACGUAUGC
This 756-nucleotide long non-coding RNA is filed under the name Mus pahari (shrew mouse). Its description in RNAcentral is "lncRNA (MGP_PahariEiJ_G0003514.1)". The record is from RNAcentral. Lineage: Eukaryota; Metazoa; Chordata; Mammalia; Rodentia; Muridae.